AGAGUUUGAUCCUGGCUCAGAAUCAACGCUGGCGGCGUGCCUAACACAUGCAAGUCGCACGAGAAAGUGGAGCAAUCCAUGAGUAAAGUGGCGUACGGGUGAGUAACACGUGACUAACCUACCUUCGAGUGGGGAAUAACUUCGGGAAACCGAGGCUAAUACCGCAUAACAUCUUUUGGUUGAGAUACCGAUUGAUCAAACCAGUAGUGGGCUUGAAGAGGGGGUCGCGGCUGAUUAGCUAGUUGGUGGGGUAACGGCCCACCAAGGCGAUGAUCAGUAGCCGGCCUGAGAGGGCGCACGGCCACACUGGAACUGAAACACGGUCCAGACUCCUACGGGAGGCAGCAGUGGGGAAUUUUGCGCAAUGGGGGAAACCCUGACGCAGCAACGCCGCGUGGAGGAUGAAGUCCCUUGGGACGUAAACUCCUUUCGAUCGGGACGAUUAUGACGGUACCGGUGGAAGAAGCCCCGGCUAACUUCGUGCCAGCCGCCGCGGUAAUAC
Molecule: ribosomal RNA, 502 nt
Filed under: uncultured bacterium
Lineage: Bacteria
Description: bacterial SSU rRNA
Rfam family: Bacterial small subunit ribosomal RNA
Source: RNAcentral